Molecule: ribosomal RNA, 253 nt
Filed under: uncultured bacterium
Lineage: Bacteria
Description: partial 16S ribosomal RNA
Rfam family: Bacterial small subunit ribosomal RNA
Source: RNAcentral
UACAGAGGUCCCAAGCGUUGUUCGGAUUCACUGGGCGUAAAGGGUGCGUAGGUGGUGAGGUAAGUCGGAUGUGAAAUCUCGGAGCUCAACUCCGAAAUGGCAUUGGAAACUGCCUUGCUAGAGGGUUGGAGGGGGGACUGGAAUUCUCGGUGUAGCAGUGAAAUGCGUAGAGAUCGAGAGGAACACCGGUGGCGAAGGCGAGUCCCUGGACAACUCCUGACAAUGAGGCACGAAAGAUAGGGGAGCAAACAGG